This 460-nucleotide ribosomal RNA is filed under the name uncultured bacterium. RNAcentral describes it as "partial 16S ribosomal RNA". It matches the Rfam family "Bacterial small subunit ribosomal RNA", at positions 338 to 795 of the family's 1533-position model. The record is from RNAcentral.
CCUACGGGUGGCUGCAGUGAGGAAUAUUGGUCAAUGGGCGCGAGCCUGAACCAGCCAAGUCGCGUGAGGGAUGACGGUCCUACGGAUUGUAAACCUCUUUUGCCGGGGAGCAAGCGUGCGUUCGUGAACGCGCGUCGAGAGUACCCGGAGAAAAAGCAUCGGCUAACUCCGUGCCAGCAGCCGCGGUAAUACGGAGGAUGCGAGCGUUAUCCGGAUUUAUUGGGUUUAAAGGGUGCGUAGGCGGGAUGCCAAGUCAGCGGUAAAAAUGCGGUGCUCAACCCCGUACUGCCGUUGAAACUGCAUCCCUUGAGUGCGCGAGAAGUAUGCGGAAUGCGUGGUGUAGCGGUGAAAUGCAUAGAUAUCACGCAGAACUCCGAUUGCGAAGGCAGCAUACCGGCGCGCAACUGACGCUCAUGCACGAAAGCGUGGGUAUCGAACAGGAUUAGAUACCCUAGUAGUC